RNAcentral lists this ribosomal RNA (253 nucleotides) under uncultured bacterium. Its description in RNAcentral is "partial 16S ribosomal RNA". It matches the Rfam family "Bacterial small subunit ribosomal RNA", at positions 524 to 776 of the family's 1533-position model. The record is from RNAcentral.
UACGAAGGGGGCAAGCGUUGUUCGGAAUUACUGGGCGUAAAGGGCGCGUAGGCGGCUUAUCAAGUCAGGCGUGAAAUUCCCGGGCUCAACCUGGGGGCUGCGCUUGAUACUGAUCGACUUGAAGGUAGGAGAGGGAAGCGGAAUUCCCGGUGUAGUGGUGAAAUGCGUAGAUAUCGGGAGGAACACCAGUGGCGAAGGCGGCUUCCUGGCCUGUUCUUGACGCUGAGGCGCGAAAGCUAGGGGAGCAAACGGG